GAUGAAGAACGCAGCGAAAUGCGAUAAGUAAUGUGAAUUGCAGAAUUCAGUGAAUCAUCGAAUCUUUGAACGCACAUUGCGCCCCCUGGUAUUCCGGGGGCAUGCCUGUUCGAGCGUCAUUUCACCACUCAAGCCUCGCUUGGUAUUGGGCAACGCGGUCCGCCGCGUGCCUCAAAUCGACCGGCUGGGUCUUCUGUCCCCUAAGCGUUGUGGAAACUUUCGCUAAAGGGUGUUCGGGAGGCUACGCCGUAAAACAACCCCAUUUCUAAGGUUGACCUCGGAUCAGGUAGGGAUACCCGCUGAACUUAAGCAUAUCAAUAAGCGGAGGA
This 329-nucleotide unclassified non-coding RNA is filed under the name soil metagenome. Its description in RNAcentral is "partial contains 5.8S ribosomal RNA, internal transcribed spacer 2, and large subunit ribosomal RNA". The stretch from base 1 to 119 matches the Rfam family "5.8S ribosomal RNA", at positions 35 to 154 of the family's 154-position model. The record is from RNAcentral.